This 4266-nucleotide long non-coding RNA is filed under the name Hordeum vulgare. Its description in RNAcentral is "long non-coding RNA (HVUL_LNC000839)". Lineage: Eukaryota; Viridiplantae; Streptophyta; Magnoliopsida; Poales; Poaceae. The record is from RNAcentral.
CUUACCAUUUUCUACCAAGUUGCAUGGCCUAAUUAGAACAGGUCAUGGCACACUUCAACUCAUCUUCUAUCCAACAAAAAGAUAUUCACAUUACAAUAGAUAAUACUUGUAACAAAUUAAAUGGGCAUAUAAUAGCUUGCAAUAGUCUAAUUUUCAUCAAUUCACAACCCAACAAAACAUAACAAACAACAUCACACGAGAGGAAACAUCCGUUUUGUUCCACUUGAAGUAUGCUUCUUCCAACUUUCGGUUGGAGCUGUUCUACUUGGACGUCCACACCACCCGUAGAAGCUGUUAGUCAACCAUGCACCUUGUACUCUUUAUGUACAUGCAAAUAUAUUACAAGAUAAAGACAUUAAAAGCCAAAUUCGAAAUGGCAAAAUCAUUUAAAAUUAUGAAGUGCUUGGAAUUUGGAAUUGCACAAUACAAAAUUUUAGUGAAUCAAAGUGAUACGGAUUAUGGCAGGAAGAAAUUAGAAGCUAUGUAAAAAUGUCCAGUCAGUUCACUCAUGCAAAUAACAACACAUCCAAUGAGCAAUCAAACAACAAAGCACCAUCUUUUUGGUACUGCUGACAUUUAAUAAAUUAAUCGAUCUAGAGCAACAAAGGAUACUAAUACAACAAAAAUGGAGGAACACGAGCAACUAAACCACCACACAUUAAUUGAUUUUGAUAACAUACAUAUGUUAAGUCAUCUAACAAGAUUCUUUUAACCACAAUAUUAAAUGAAAUCAAUAUAGUCGUAGCAGCAUAGAUGGUUAAGGAUACCAUAUGACAUGCAAAGCACAAUUUAGCUUAGAUUAGAAAAUUUUAAAUGAACAUUCUAAAUCGAUCUAGUAACUAGACUAGCAAACACAUGUAGAUUAACCAAUAAAAGAAGAGGAAUGAUGGGGAUCCUUUGAGCAAAAUAUAAUUAGCAAAUUACUAAAACGAAGCCAUAUCUUCUAGACAAUAUUGACUAGAACAAGAUGUAUUUGGUAGUACUUUAUUACAGAAUCGCAUAGCAUCCUAGGGGAAAACAAUGAUUUUUGUCUAAAUGCGACAUGCAUACAUGCGAAGGAAUAGUGGCAUUGACUUACAUUUAUUUGCACCAACAAGAUCAUCACAUCUCUUAUUUACUAAUUGGAGGCACCUUUUAAGAUCUCUCAUUAAUCCACAUCAUCAAAAUUAAUUAUACCGUUGGAUUGUGGAAUUAACGUUCAGGAUAAAAAGAAUACGUACGUAAUGCAGAUGGUCCCAUGCCACAAAAAAUUGGCAUCUGACAUGUGAAGCAUUCCACUACAGUUUUUAUAGAAAAAAGAACACGUACAUAUAGAAGGACUAAACCAACACGUAAACAUUCCGCUACAGUUUUUAUAGAAAAAACAGCACGUACAUAUAGAAGGACUACACCAACACGUAAACAUUUUGCUAUAGUUUUUAAAGAAAAAACAGCACGUACAUAUAGAAUGACUUAACCAACGUGUACAUGUAAGAGUAAUCCAUGAUCAUGUUCAAGUUCUAAGCACUAACAUUACACCUGCCUCUAUCUGCCCACAAAAAGGUAAACAUAUAGUGACCAGUUAUCAAGCGUUUAAGACCAAGGAUAAAAAGUGUCCACAUCCCAAUUCCGAGAAAAAACACGUGCAUGUUCCAUUCAAAAAUGAAAAAAACAAUACACUUAUUUUUCCGAAAUUGUUUUUCAGCAGCACACACAAUGAAUUGUACGCAAUGUUCAAAUCACAUGAUAAAUAGAGCCUAUGUCCCAAUUUCCUGAAAAACACGUGCAUGUUCCCCUCAAAAAUGAAAGAAGACACGUAAAAAAUCAUCAAGCAUCACGUUAUGGGGAAGAGAGAGUUAAUGCAUGAUUGCGGAGAUUGUGUAAAAUGCAGAAACAGCUUUGUUUUUCUUUUUCUGAGUAAUUUUUUUCGAUGUGAAUGUAGUCGAAUUGUGGUUGUGCUAUAUUUACACAGAGCACAACAAACCAUUACAAUCUUAGACAAACGAAUUGAACACAAAAUGGAACACACCUUCACCCAAAAGUAGUCGGUAGAAUAAUAUUUUCAAAACAUGUUGUACUUCUUCUGAUAAUUUCAGUUUAUUUAAUAUUCCCAAGGUUUGUAUAUGCAUCAUCUUUGGAGAAAAAACAAACCCAUGUGAGCCACUAUGUCUUGAUUAGGGUCUGGAUCAUCAUGAAUCCCUUUUGUAAAUGUAUAUCCCAGGAAUAAUAUAUCACGGCCAAACUAAAUUUUUGUUAGCCAGAAUAUAAAUUAUAUUAUCUUUUUGUACAUAUCGUUGACUCUUUUAGUGCUAAUAAUUCAGAUUAGGGAAGUGCUAAUAAUUCAUAUUAGGAAAGUUAAUUUGUAGCUCCCCAUUGUUGCUGGUCUAACUAGACUCACUCUCCAGCAUAAUAACAACACAUUUGAAAUCUCUAUUCAACAAAAAUGAAUGAGAGGAUAGUGCAAGUAAGUAGAGUAAAUACCUUCACAUAGUAAUGCUACCGCAACAAAAUGAGGUGUGAAGGGCUGGUAAUGAAAGGACACCACCACCAAGAGCCCACUCAUGCCCAAUCCUUUUCCUUUCUCAUCUUGUUCCUCCACGUGGCACUCCAACUCUCUCCGUCGGCUCCAAGAGAAAAUAGGAUGGUCAAGAUCAAAAAGCAGACCAGGAAAACUGAAUCCAUACAUCAAAACACAUAGAUGUAGUUGAAAUAUUCUUGUGGACUGAAGGAAAUUAAAACUAAAUGCCACUACUCAAUUUUGCAGGGUGUUGUGCACUGUACAUGAUUUAAUUUUGUGUUGAAAGAUGCAGUGGACAAGAUCACCACAGAAAGAGAGAGUCUUUGUAACAGGGGUUCAAGUGAUUUGACUGAUGUUAAGUAUGAGUAGUUGUGCUAAAUUUAAUGUUCAAACUGUCCCUGGCUAGAAGAGAACUUGCAAUGCAGUUCUUGUCAUUGGAACCUGCAACAUCACAGUGAGCACAAAAUUUCUGAUACUACGAGAUCAAAGAUUCAGCUACUAUGAGAACAAACAGCCAGAAACCAUGACCACAAAGAUUCAGACAUAUAGGCAUCAUAUAUAGAUAGAUAGAUAGAUAGAUAGAUUAAUGACAUAGAUAGAUAGACAUGCAUCAUAGAUACAUGAGUUCAGAAAGCACCACACAUUGUGAUCUGCCGAGCUGCUGCAUAGAUUCAGUUCAGAAAAAAUGUACUUCAAACACUAAGUUCACAAAUUAAAUGAACCCAUAUAUUUGGUUCAGAUAUUGCUGCAGAAAUAAAAAAGGAUAGUGUUGCAACAGACUCACUCUUCCUAUGGCACUUGCCGAGCUUCAGAAGAUGUAGAGAUCGGCAAACUGGCCCCAUGAUGUGGAGCUGAUUUUUCUUCCUUGUGCUGCUUGUGCGUGUCUCCACUUCCAUCUCAUGUUGUAUCUGAUGCUCCAUCAGCUGUUGCUCCAUUUGUUGCUUCUCAAUCUGUUGCCGCUCCAUCUCGGGUGCCUCCGCCUACACCUGUUAUUCCAUCUGCAACGGCUCCAUCUCCAUCAGAGGAGCGAGGGGCAGCGUUGGCACCAUGCACUCAGGGAGAAAAAAAUGGCCACAUCACAUGGAGCUGGGAAUCGAGUUUCUUACCUAUGCCUGAAUCUAAGAUCUAGCCACCACCGUCCUAGGAGACCAAUUGGAAUAGCCGGUAACAGCACCACCACCACAUGCUAAUUCAAAAACCAAGGUAUCGUACCCCAUCGGCCAGCCACAGGUGCGGGAUGCGGGUCAGUGGAGUUGAUGAUGCAGGCUCAUGUGCAGGAUGACGGUGUGCUCCCUUGUGAUGGCCUCCUUCUUCGGCGCUAAUUGAGCAGCUCGUCGCCUGAUGUUACCUGAGUGUCGACACACAGAAACCCUAAAACCACCAUGAAAAAAUAGUGACAAAAGGGAGGGCUUCAGACCGAUGUUUAGCUUGCCGUUGAUCUUGAAAGCCCUCUCGAAGUCGAAGGCGAGGCUAUGCAGCUAUACGCCGAGAUGACGAGGCGAGUGGAGCAAGCCUUCAGGUGAGGAAGUCAAGAUCUGAGGCGAGGGGAGGAAGCUUGCCCGUGAGGAAGUAGAGAUCUGAGGCGAGGGUUGUGGGAUUGAGGUCCUGUGAUGGGGUGGAUUCGCCAACAUGGCCGUAGUCGUGAGGUGGGGAAGAACAUGGAGUUGGAGUGCCAGAGGACAGAAGAAGCAGUGGCGGCUAGGGCAGAGGGAGAAGUGGUAGGAGCAGGUUAUGUAUGUGUGCCUUCGGUUUAGAACCCUAGUUGGUUU